Scatophagus argus is the source of this 3480-nucleotide long non-coding RNA. RefSeq lists it as uncharacterized. The record is from RefSeq and is a predicted model, not a curated record. The transcript is spliced from 5 exons. Lineage: Eukaryota; Metazoa; Chordata; Actinopteri; Scatophagidae.
GGUUAACCUUAGCUAAUUGUUAUUUUGAGCAGCCUCCAUAUCCAGGAAAAUUAACAGACGCCGUUCUCUCGUUUUUGGUUAAAAUCACAAUACAGUGAUAGGGAAUGCAUAGAAGGAAGUUGUGGAAAAACUUCAGGUCGCUUGUCAGUGUCAGUAAGUAGUGUAGAUGCUGUGUCAGGUGCAAAUUAAUUAAGCAACCAGUUGUACAUGUGGUUAUAACCGCAGGGUUUGUACAGAAAACUUGUCACAAAUAUUUCUGACUCGGUCAACAAAAUUUCGGCUCCUUCUCCUUCUUCCCCUCCAUGUGGAGCAGCGGACAUCCUAGUAAAACAACAGAGGAAACCGUUGGGGAUCUUCCUGUCAGGACUGCCCCAGUAGCCUCAGCAGAAAUAUGAACUUCUAUGUGAGGGGUGGGGGGUGCCAUAUGGGAGCUCAGAAAAAUGGAAGUGGAUCGUAGAUAGACAAGAGAGGAAUCUGUCAUUCUUAGGCUCGGAUGUCGGGAUCUGUGUGAUGCGAACUAAACGAGAAUGCGGUCAGCAAACCCCCCUGCGCAAGACUUUUCCAUGAAGGGAGCCCUGGUAAUUGUCUGUCUUUCUGCACAUUCAAAGGUAAGACAGAUCACAACUUGCAUUUGCAACGAACCAACAACAUCCAUAACAGUCGUUUUCUGUGUGAUCGAUUUUGUGAGCAGAGUGGAGGAUAUGGAGGAUAGUGUUUGGGUGUAUGACUGCCUUGUUUUGCUUGCACACUUGCAGUGGUAGAGUGAGUCAGUAAAAGUGUCAGACUGCCGUAACAGACGGCCUGUGCGAGAUAAUUAGCCUGGAGUCAUUUGGAAGCUGUUCAGCUCUGCCCAGGUGCCCACUGUGCACAGAAAGAGACCAGACGACCUUUUACUCAGCUUCGUCCCACUGCAGUCACUUAAAACAGUGAUGGAUGUUUCCCUUAACACCCCACUCCCCACUGCUAGGCCUCCCUCUCCUUUUCUCUCCACCCUCCCUCUCUCUCAUCUCACCCCCGUCCUCUUCUCUCCUCUGCUCCAACACCACUCUCGCCUUAUUUGUCCCUCCUCCUCUCCUUCUUGUUUUUCUACCAUCCUUCCCCUUUCACUGCCCCCGAUUCUCUCUGUUCUACCAGACUGAUGAGGAGGAAGAGGAAGAAGAAAGGUGUUUGGUGGCGGGGGAUUGGGGUGUGUGUGGGGAUGUGGGUGCAGGGGGUGGGGUGGAGGGUGAAGUGGAGCCGUUUCCUGCUAGCGCAGAGAUGAGUGAAGCUCCCCCUCCCCUCAGCUCCUCAUUAGUAUGCAGGGACUGUUGCUCAGGUGACAUGGCCGCUGGAUUCUGUCCCGACUGCAGGAACAUCAGCAGCAUGGCGGAGAUCAGGAUAGCAGGUAAGGACGAUGAGAACAGGCAGCGGAACAGGAGGGUGGGGGUUUGAGAGGGGGACCGAGGGCGAAAGUUCAGGACUUUUUUAAGGACUUCACACAUCCACGCAUAACCACAUAUUUGAAGGGCCAAUCCAGGCUCCCUACCAAAGGCGCACAGUGAAGGACAGUACAGUUUUAUUUUAGUAAUAAAUAUCUCAUUUUGUCUGUGAUAAUCGCACAUUUUAUUUCCUGUAUGCACUUUACAAAAUGCAUUCAUUUACAAAUGAUUUCUUCUUGUAUUUUAUCUGAUCUCCCUUAAAAUGUAAUAAUUGUAAAUGUAACAGUAUCAACUUUUCAUAUUGUUAAUAGAGAGGUUUCAAUAAAUAUCAAUAAAUAAUAUAUUCUGUGUUUGGUUGUUUAUCAAUUUAAUCUUUUAUUCCAUGUAAACAAACAGUGAAGGAAUCCUGGAGUUUCCCCUCAAAACAUUUUCAUUGUUUUCACUUGUGAGGUUUUCAUUCCCCUUGAUAUGUUGGAUAUUGGUUUUGUUGCCUUUGGCAACAAAGAGAGUGGUGUAUUAGACAAAUACUCAUACACUGUGUACGUGUGUGUGUGUGUAUGUGUGUGUGUCAAAGGAAAAGAGAAUACAAGGGUAAGAAAGGGAGGAAAAAGAGUGUGUGUAGAUGUGUUUUUGUUUGGUCUGUGUAUGUGUGAGAGAGUGAGAGAGAACUAGAGACAGUCUGUGUGUGUGUGUGUGUGUGUGUGUGUGUGUGUGUGUGUUCGGGGAGCAGUGCAGCCAGGCUGCAGAUAUCAUCCAUCUCCCUGUCACCAGCCCGAGGGCUGCUGGGAAAGUGGCAGACAGCUCCCCGACUCUGACAACAGAGGCUGCAUCCUAAUUUUCUGACACAGAAUGCUUGAAAAACCUGCACUGCUCCUCCCUCACCGCCCGGUACGGAAAACCAUUAACCCUGCGAUCCAGGAACAAAGCAUGGAGCUCAGCCUGGGACACCGCUGGCUGUGAGUCAUAUCGGCUCCCUUCCUCCAGCAGACUGUGAGCAGCAACACUUUGCAUGAACUCCACUUUAUAAAACAUUCAUGACGCUGCAUUAAAGCUUCACAUAUGGAGCCACACUAUGAAAUGAGUUCAUUUCUUAAGCCACAUCUAACUAGGAGGUCAAAUUACUGACUUGAUGACAUUUGAUUUUAAUUUCAAAAUAAAAGUCCUCCUGACAGUAGCUGCAAUAAGUGGAUUACAUGCUUUCUGGUUAGCCAUGACUAAUUGUAUUAUAAAGCUGUUGUCAGACAUUCUAUAGCUUUUGUUAUCAGUGCCAGCACUUUUAAUUUCCUAUCUCUCCGAGGGUCUCACUUUCCCUGGUCUUUGGUCCUUGGCAUCAUAUAAACACUGACAUGAGGAUUAAGUUAGUACUCAUUAAUGUGUGCAGCUGGUUUUUCCAAGUUUUUUCCCUCGUUUAAUUUUGUGAAUUUUACAGUUUCUCUAAUGAGGAAAAUUAAAAAGCCUUCAGAAAACAUCAAGGCUUGUAGUUCUCGUGUAGACAUGAAGUCACAAGUACACGCACGUCAGAUCACAAACUGAAGUUUAACUAACGACCGGUAAGUCUCAUAGUUUUCAUGAGCGCUAAGAUGAGAAACAGUGUACAUAUAUGAAUACAGAUAAAUAAAACAGCAAAGUAUCCUCCAUGUAAAACCUGAUAUUUGGUGUGAAGUGACAUGUAAACUGUACAAUAGAUUAAUCUAUUUUUUUUUUCAAUCGUGGAAAUUUAAAUAGAAACAAUUGACAUAUAAACACACUUAAAAUGUUGUUAGAUAUCAAUGUGAAUGGAUAUAUUUAUGACGAGUAAAGCUUUUUAUACAAAUUUCAGCUUAUUGAUCUUAAAAUCAUUAGAAUAUCACAUUCCACUGCUAAAAACUGAGCUGACAACCAAGUGAAGCUGUUAUUCUAGAGAUAUUUCUGGCAGACAGUUGCAUAUGAAUGCUGUUCCCAAACCAUGCAGUACCAAUAUUUGUUUUUUAUAAACAAUGGAAUUGUUGGAAACUGUCAUGAAUCAAAAAUUGAAUGAUUUCCCCCUUUGAAAAUGUGAAAUAAAACAAUGACUAACAAAGAA